This 468-nucleotide ribosomal RNA is filed under the name uncultured bacterium. RNAcentral describes it as "partial 16S ribosomal RNA". It matches the Rfam family "Bacterial small subunit ribosomal RNA", at positions 28 to 507 of the family's 1533-position model. The record is from RNAcentral.
GACGAACGCUGGCGGCGUGCUUAACACAUGCAAGUCGAACGGAAAGGCCCUGCUUUUGUGGGGUGCUCGAGUGGCGAACAGGUGAGUAACACGUGAGUAACCUGCCCUUGACUUUGGGAUAACUUCAGGUAACUGGGGCUAAUACCGGCUAGGAGCUCCUGCUGCAUGGUGGGGGUUGGAAAGUUUCGGCGGUUGGGGAUGGACUCGCGGCUUAUCAGCUUGUUGGUGGGGUAGUGGCUUACCAAGGCUUUGACGGGUAGCCGGCCUGAGAGGGUGACCGGCCACAUUGGGACUGAGAUACGGCCCAGACUCCUACGGGAGACAGCAGUGGGGAAUAUGGCAGAAUGGGCGGAAGCCUGAGGCAGCAACGCCGGGUUCGGGAUGACGGCCUUCGUGUUGUAAACCGCUUUCGCCUGUGACGAAGCGUGAGUGACGGUAAUGGGUAAAGAAGCAACGGCUAAAUACGUG